UACGUAGGGAGCAAGCGUUGUUCGGAUUUACUGGGCGUAAAGGGCGCGUAGGCGGCGCGGUAAGUCACUUGUGAAAUCUCUGAGCUUAACUCAGAACGGCCAAGUGAUACUGCAGUGCUAGAGUGCAGAAGGGGCAAUCGGAAUUCUUGGUGUAGCGGUGAAAUGCGUAGAUAUCAAGAGGAACACCUGAGGUGAAGACGGGUUGCUGGGCUGACACUGACGCUGAUGCGCGAAAGCCAGGGGAGCAAACGGG
This 253-nucleotide ribosomal RNA is filed under the name uncultured bacterium. Its description in RNAcentral is "partial 16S ribosomal RNA". It matches the Rfam family "Bacterial small subunit ribosomal RNA", at positions 524 to 776 of the family's 1533-position model. The record is from RNAcentral.